RNAcentral lists this ribosomal RNA (264 nucleotides) under uncultured bacterium. Its description in RNAcentral is "partial 16S ribosomal RNA". It matches the Rfam family "Bacterial small subunit ribosomal RNA", at positions 91 to 354 of the family's 1533-position model. The record is from RNAcentral.
CUUAGUGGCGGACGGGUGAGUAACGCGUGGGUAACCUGCCUUGCACUGGGGGAUAACACUUAGAAAUAGGUGCUAAUACCGCAUAAGCGCACGGUCCUGCAUGGGACAGUGUGAAAAACUCCGGUGGUAGCAAGAUGGACCCGCGCCUGAUUAGCUGGUUGGCGGGGUAAAGGCCCACCAAGGCGACGAUCAGUAGCCGGCCUGAGAGGGUGGACGGCCACAUUGGGACUGAGACACGGCCCAAACUCCUACGGGAGGCAGCAG